GACAGAGGGUGCAAACGUUGUUCGGAAUUACUGGGCGUAAAGCGCGUGUAGGCGGUCCGGUAAGUCCGCUGUGAAAGUCGGGGGCUCAACCCUCGGAUGCCGGUGGAUACUGUCGGGCUUGAGUACGGAAGAGGCGAGUGGAAUUCCCGGUGUAGCGGUGAAAUGCGCAGAUAUCUGGAGGAAUACCGGUGGCGAAGGCGGCAUCCUGGACCGAGAUUGACACUGAUGAGCGAAAGCUAGGGGAGCAAACGGG
Molecule: ribosomal RNA, 253 nt
Filed under: uncultured bacterium
Lineage: Bacteria
Description: partial 16S ribosomal RNA
Rfam family: Bacterial small subunit ribosomal RNA
Source: RNAcentral